Molecule: non-coding RNA, 31 nt
Filed under: Mus musculus (house mouse)
Lineage: Eukaryota; Metazoa; Chordata; Mammalia; Rodentia; Muridae
Source: RNAcentral
UAUCCAGAAGAGAAAAUGGGUAUCAGGGAUC